AUUUCUCCCUUCCGGAAAGUCAACGUCUGAACAUCCCAUUUUGAUUGCUGGAAAGUUUCUCAAAUUCGGGCAUCCAGUGAGAUUGAGGUACUCGAGAGAUUCCAAGUUGAGAUCGGUUGGAAAACUCUCUAGCUUUUUGCAAUCACUCAUAUCUAAAUAGAUCAGUUUAGUGGCAUUCUGAAUCGAGGAAGGAAGUGUCACCAAAGAUUUGCAUCCAACAAGAUCUAAUUCCUCGAGGUUUAUGGCUAAAGAAAGAUCUGGAAUUUCUUUCAAAUUGUUGGAAUACCUCAAAUUCAUCUCCUUGAGACUUCCAAGGGGCUGAAAACAAAAUAUGGAAAAAGAGAAUACACACGUUCACAAAUAUACCACAGUUCUGUUCUAAAAACUGACAACUAAUAAAAUUUAGAAUUCGUACCAGAGUUCCUUCCCACAGUUUCUCAAGCUUACUAUACUUCAUUAUGAGGUUAACUAGAUAUUCCGCCUUAAAAGUAGAUGGCAAAGACUUCAAUGGACAAUCAUCCCAGUCUAGCAAUCUGAGUUUAAGGGGCAAAUAAACGAGGCUCUGAGGUAGAUCCCCGUAAUAACCAAUUUCUAGAUAUUGCAGAUUACGCAUGCCUUUGAACGAUUCUUUAUCUAUUAAUAACGGCCUUGUCGAAAAAUAUUCCUCGAAUGGCAAACGUAUUCCAAGAAGAGUUUCUGUCCCCUGAAAAAAAAUCCGAAGAAAACUAAUAUAAUCUUAACAAUCGCAACCCUUUUUAAUUUUCUGACACAUCAAAGCUACAUUUUAAUUACGCAUGAGGCAACAAUUGCUUAAGUUUAUCAAUCCCCAAAUUACGAUUAUAUUAAUAUAAAGUCAUGCAUUCAAACGGAGCUGCGAAAAAAACUUACAGUUUUCUCGGUCACUACUUCAUGAAUAUCUUCAAAAUUCGUCAGAAAUCGACGUUUUCCAGGAUUACCCUUGGACUUUGCACGAUCAAUUUCUCUACCCAAUUUCUCUAGCAAAUUGUGCAUCUCUAUAUAUCCAUCCGGUGUAAUACGUAUGAGGGACUUCUCAGUCAACAUUGUAAACCCAACAUUAUCUUUAAGUAAAUCUUUGACGUAACUGACUUCAAAACCAUUGAAUAAACACGCGAUGUAAAGGAACAUAUCUUGAUCUUUUUGAUGUAAUCUAUCGUAGCUGACUCUUAAUGUUUUCAUAAUAUCUCCGUUCAAACCAUUUCGGAGCCUAGGCAUCAUCUCCAUCCACCAUUCUUUGGUCCUUCCCUUUAAAGACGAACCAAGGACACUAAGACCCAACGGAAGAUUACCGGCAAGCUUCGCAACUUCAAAUGCUAGUUCCUUAAAAUCAUCAGGUGGAGAGUCUUUCCCAAAAGCAGAUCGGCAUAACAUCGUAAGAGCAAGAUGUUCAGAUGGGAACUCCACCUCAUAUAUAAGGUCAAUCUCAUGAGCCUUGAGAAGUUGCCUAUCUUGAGUGAUCACAAUUAUUCUGCUUCCAGAUCCAAACCAUUCAGCUUUUCCCACCAAGGUCUUAAGAAACUCUAGACUAUCCACAUCAUCAAGAAGGAUAAGAACUUUCUGUUGCUUUAACCUUUGCUCCACCACACCAAAAUGCUCUAUCUUUAUGUCCUUUUGACCUAAGAUUUCCGAGAGAAGUUCUUUUUCCCACCUCAACUUCAUGCCAGAGACGUCACUACCGCUGGUGCUUUUAUAUGUUAUGAAAGCGCGAUGGUGGAACUGGAUAGAGAGUUUACUGUAAAGAGCUCUUCCUAUGGUACUCUUACCAAUCCCUGAUUGUCCCCAAAUCCCGACCAUUAUUCUAGCUUCCUUGGAUUCCAAGCACAAUACUGAUUUUAUUGCCUCUAUAUGAUUUUCAAUUCCGACUAAGUCGCCAAAAUCAUCCGAUGGUGUCAUAGUUUUUCUCAAAACAUCCUCGGCAAGCUCUUCAAUCAUGGCUGCUUCACUAGGCCUAAUAACAAUAGUCAACUGUUUCAUUAAAGAAGCAACGCAAAACAAAAAAAUCACGAAGUCUAUUCAUUGAAAUACCAUUUCCGAAGAUCAUAUCCGGCCAUAACUGCAACAGCUGCUAGAGCUUGCUUCCAACUUUGUUUCUCAUCCUCUGAUUUAGCCUUGCAUGUCUCUUCAAAGACCUUUCCAAAUUCGCCGGUCUGUUUUUUAACUUCCGAAGCAUCAACGUGGAAGAAAAUCGGAAUCACCAUUUGAUUCAAAUUCGUAUAACACUUGUGAAUCUCCACCAAUUCAUUCAGGCACCAGGUGGAUGAAGCAUAGUUCUUAGAGAAGAUAACGAUUGCUAUUCUCGAUUCUUUUAUUGCCGAUAAAAGCUCCGGGCCGAUUGAGCGGCUCCUCUCGAUCUCAUCAUCUAUGAAUGUGAUUGCUUUGCCCCUGAGCUCCUUGAGAAGAUGGCUGAGGAAUGAGUCACGGACAUCUUCUCCACGAAAGCUUGGGAAAACGUCGUAUCUCCGGCUGCCAGAAGAAGAAGCUAUCUCCAUAUCAUCAUCUUUGGAUGUAUCCAUCAUUUCACGGUCGAGCUCGAGCUCCUUGACAAGAUGGCCACGAAACAAUUUGCCGAAAUUUUCUCCACUGAAGCUCGCGAAAACAUUGUAUAUCCAUCUGAGAACAUUGUAUAUCUAUCUGAAGCAAGAAGACGCCAUGGCAGAGGAUGAGAGAGAAGAGACGAAAUUUCUCAAAGGAAAACUCUUUGAAGUAUAUCAAUAAUACAACACAGUAACAGAGAGGAGAAACUUGGUCUUCCUUUCCUCGAAGACUUGUAUAGAAGACUUACUAUACAAGAUAUUGUUUUAGUGGUUAAAAUCAAAUCCCAUUACAAGACAAUUGGGACAAAUAAUACGUAAACUUGGUCUUCCUUUCUUAGAAGACUUGCAUAGAAGACUUACUGUACAAGAUAUUUUUUUAGUGGUUGAAAAAUCAAAUCCCUAACAAGAUAAGGCCAUAAUUAUGUGAUACAGAAACUUCCCCUUCCUUUCCUUGGAAAGCUUCUACUCUAUAACGAUAAGUCAAUUUUGUGGCUAUCAGUCGUCACUGAAUUUAUCUAUGAUGAUGAGACGUAGCCAUUCUACAAGAUUUCAAGAUAAUUUCUAGGCAAAAUAGACAGAAACUUCCUCGAGAGCUACUUUUCCUCUCCACAGAUAUUUUUGAAGACCCAAAAUUUUGUGGCUGUCAGUGGUUCAAGACAGAAACAAGAUUUCAAUUUAUUUUAACAAUGUUAAGGUUCACUAAUAUCAAAAGUCUGGUUUUCCUAUUCAUACUGUACAUACAUGCAUGGAAAUUAGGAGAAUAAUUAGUAUAUCGAUUAUGAGGAUUAUAAUUCAACUAAUAAUACAGUGAAAACACUAACAACAAACUAUCUAGUUUUCUAGAGCUGUGUGGUGUGGACAGUGGAGAGAAUAUUUUCAUGUAAAGUUUUCUUGUUUACAUUUACAAUUGUAAUAUUAGUUUAGAGUUUUGGCUUACUGUGUCAGCAACCACUGUAGGCUGCGAUUGCAUUUGCUGCCGUUUAAGGAGCAUUUGGUUUCUAAGGGUAGGUUUCAUGUACUGGAUGGAAGAAGUCGUGCUUGAGAGCAUCCUCUGCACUGAUUCGCCGUCUCGGGUUAACGGUCAAACAUCUAUCAACGAGGUCAAGGAGCGACCAUGGAAUUGCAUCUAGAAACUCCAUGCGUUUUGGGUUGAGUUCGUACCAUUUUCUCAACUCCAUCCCUUUCAAGUACCUUGACUUGUACAAUUCCUGAAACAACAACACAAAAAUCAACCUGAACUCAUCUCUCACGAUCAUCUAUCUAAUAAUUUUGUCGGUAAUUUACAUUUUUAAGAUAUAUAAUGUUUUGGAACACAAAAUGCUAACAAUGAAAACCCUUUUGUGAUAUUUGAAUCCAAAUGCUGGCGGCAAAGAAGAACAGAACAUGUAUGUUAUGUUCACACCAAUGCAGUAAUCAAAUGAAUGGAGAGUUUACAAGGGAUGAAAGAUGAGAUUUUACCUCAUGUAAAGAGGAUUCACGGUUGUGCAGCUUGGCUACUUCCCAUAAUUCUUCACUGCCUCGUAGUUGCGCAAUGUCCUUUAUGUUCCUGGGAAUGACAAGGUCGUUGUAAGACGGCAAGAAAGAAGAAAAAAGUGGAACCGAGUGAUGGUGUAUUCAGUCAAGUCAGAUCUUAACUGUUCAGGGUCACCAGUGAGAGCUUUCCUUCCCAUUAUGAGGUAUAACAAAGUAACUCCCGCAGAACACACGUCUUUUUUUAGGUCCUUGGUCCAAAGACCAUUCAGCCGAGAACAGCCCUAGAGAAUUAGCUUUUCCAUCCCAUCCUAGAUGUGUUAAUGAGUAGCUCAGGGAACAAGAUAUUUUCAUAUGGAUUUAACUAGUAUCAAGGGAAGUGAUAUAUCUGCAGGAAAAAUGGCUUGUGUCAAAACAUAUGAAAUCGUCUUGCCAUUAUCAUUAUAGUCAUGCUCGGUCCCAAGUUAUCCUAAAACAGAGGAAAACCGAAUAAUAAGAUGCUUCAGUUACCAGAACCAGAAUUCAAGAUAGGAAUUUCUUCAUCUUGUUGUUCACUUAUCAUGGAAUCAACACACAAAGAUUCCCCCUCCAGAGAUGGAUAAGAAGAAACUGAUGAUGCUUCUCCCUGCCCUAACGAAAGCUCCAUAUUUAGAGCGGUCAAGCUUGUGUCCGCUACAAUUUGGACACAGGGUAAGUUGAUAUAUUCUUCAGAUGUUCCCGAUGUCAUCUGCAUCGUAAACCAAAGGAUCGAUUCUGUUAAAUAGUCUGUCACUAAGGUAUUGAUCCUGGAAAAUAUAAUAAAACAUCAAGAGAUAGCUUUGCAAUUUUCAGUUCUAAUUAUGUCAAAAGGCUUACCCGCAUCCGCUUAUUGCUUCUCGCAGUCUCUACAACAUCACAUUUUUCUCGAGACUGUUGGCUGUACUCUGUUUCAGAGCUUCCAUCACUAUCAUCUGGAAAUGGAGACACAUUCAAGAGUCGUAUACCACAUUCUUUUAUCCUCUUGGAGCAAGAAAAGUUAAACUCCACAUCGUUGAAAGUCAAUUUAGAUGGAAGAUCUUCAGGCUGGAAGUUGAAGGAACAGAAAACCAGAUGAUCCGUCUUACACAACCGCAGGUCUGCAUCUUUAAAAAAUGAUUUGCAAUACAGUGUCCCAUUGAAGCCAGCAUUUACCUCACAAUAUGGACCCCAACUCUUGCCCUCAGUUAGAAGGUCAACCACGAUGCAAGCCUUAAAGCAAGAAUACUUGAGAAAGAGAGCUCUAAGGUAAAGUGACAGUUAGGGAAUCUCCAUAAGCUCGAUGUUGAAAAUACGUUGGCACUUCUCCACCUGGUAAGGACAUAGGCUUGAACAAUGACCGUAAGAUGAGUUCUCGCGCAUCUCCAUCCAAUUUGCAGCAGUUCUGGAAGAGAUAAUGAAAGGCCCCGAUCCGGACUACCUAAGUCCGGACGAGAUCUCUCGACCCAAGUCACUAAGUGACUCGACCCAAGUCACUAAGUGACUCGACCCUAACCAUUUAUGAGGUUCAUUCCCUAGUGUAAUCCGUUUCAUACAAUUCUGUGAUUCAAUAUAUGAGACGAAUAGAGUAAACAAACAAUCGGAUACUUUAUUAAUUAAGUAAAGGAUUCGAUACAACUUAUGAGUUUGCAUAUAAGCUAUUACAAGUAAUUUAAUCGAUCCCUAGACUAUCCGAAACUAUCACCACCCAUCAUUCCGGCCUUGAGUCUCUCGCGCCUAAGCCAAGUCCUUCCCACUAUCACCAUUGGUUCCUGAAAGUCAUAGAGCCAUAAGUAAUUUCAUUUACUUAGUCAUAUGCAAGUCCAUGCAAUGCUCCAUAGUCCUUACACUACUCGGAUCCGCGGAGAGGAUUCGGAGAAGGGAAGAUCGCGCAUAAGUCCGGCCGAUUCUCGGUAGGUCAAUUAAGACCCGCCGGUCCUCCGCCGAGCCGCGUCUCCGCCCCAGCCGAUCCCUUGCCCGGACCGAGGCUUGUGUAGGUUGCACAUGACCCGAUUCUACCCAGCCCAUUAGUCGUUCCUUUCAAGGAAUCCCGACUCAUUUAACGCAUUCUAGAAUCCUUAGACUCGAGGUCUAGGAUUCCUUACCUUCCUUCACGAUGUUCGGUCGAUCCGACCCUUCUUCUUCCUUGCCGGCCACAGUCCGCCUACCGAUUUCCUCCGAUGAUUUAUUCUCCCGAAAGGGAGAGAGUUUAAUGGUGAGUUUCCGGUAUUUUCCGUGUGUUCUGCUGCCUCUAAAGGUCUUGGGCGCCCUCCCUUAUAUAAGGAGCGAAUUGAUGCUUCCCGAAGGAUCACCUCCGUUCCUUGCACCUUUCCGAAGAGUUGCAUCUCUCGGUCCGUAACUGCUCGCCCUUAUCCACCCUUUGGGCGAGCACCCGUUCGACCGUAACCGCCCAAGUAACCGUCCGGGUAACCGCCCAGCUGGUCAGACAGUCGACCAGCUGCCUCGAGCUCAACCGUCACUCGCCCAGCUGCUCGAGCUGGACUGUCACUCAACCCGAGUAACCGUCACUCCUUCCAGCUGAGCUUGAGCUUCGGACGAGCUGACCCAGCUGAUUCCUUUACGAUCCUAGCUUAGCCCGCAUGAUUUCCCUUUGUCCGAGCUUAUGGCCAACUCCUUCCCACUUGUCCGAGACUCCACCUUCUUUUCUCGGACCAAGUCCCAGCCAACGAUCCUAUUGAGGAUCGCGGGCGUUACAAGUCUCCCCUUUGAAUUGGAUUCGACAAAUCGAAUCCAAGUUGAUCUUUACCCAUCUCCUUGAACCACUCCGGAAAAUUGGCCUUCAUCUUAGUCUCGGUUUCCCAAGUGUAUUCUUCACGGCCUCCACAAUUCCACAAGAUUUUUAACAAAUCCAUUGAUUUCCCCCGAGUCCCUUUCUUCAUUUGGUCCAUGAUCCGUACCGGCCAUGCUUCCACCGUCAUGUUCUCCUUUAACCCAGGAGGUACAUCUUCCAUGCUUUCUUCUUGUUCACUUAAGCACUUCCGUAGUUGUGAUACAUGAAAGACAUUGUGAAACGCGUCUAGUUUUGGAGGAAGGUCAAGUUUGUAUGCCACCGCCCCUACUCGUUCGAUCACUUUGUACGGGCCAACGUACCUUGGCCUUAACUUUUUCCUUGAUGUGAAUCGCCCUGCCCCUUUGUAGGUCAUCGCCUUUAAAUACACCAAGUCUCCCACUUGGAAUUCUAAUUCCUUUCGACGCUUGUUGGCGUAACUUUUCUGACGAUCUUGGGCUUCCUUUAACUUGAUUUUUAAGAACUUCAUUUUCUUCGUGGUUUCAUCCACGACCGCAGGUCCGAACAACCGACGUUCGCCCACUGGCGUCCAACACAACGGUGUUCUACCAGCUCGGCCAUACAACGCCUCAUAGGGAGACAUACCAAUACUAGCUUGAAAACUGUUAUUGUACGCAAAUUCUACUAACCUUAGAUAUUUCUCCCAGUUUCCUCCCCAAUCCAAGACGCAUGCCCUCAACAUGUCCUCGAGGGUUUGAAUCGUUCGUUCGGACUGUCCGUCCGUCUGUGGGUGAUAUGCAGUACUUAGAUUCACUCGAGUCCCUAAGACCUUUUGAAAAGGCUUCCAAAAUUUUGACGUGAACCUUGUGUCUCGGUCCGACACUAUACUAACCGGAAUCCCAUGUAAUCGCACGAUCUCGUCUAUGUACUUCUCGGCAAUGAUUUCGGCUGCAUCCUUAUCCGAGAUUGCCAUGAAGUGCGCAGACUUAGUCAAUCGGUCUACUACAACCCAUACCGCAUUGUGUUUGGACUUGAUCCCCGUCGGCAGUCCCGUGACGAAGUCCAUCAUUAUAUGGUCCCACUUCCAUUCCGGUAUAGGUAGGUUUUGUAACAUUCCACUUGGUACUUGAUGCUCUUCCUUGGCUACCCACCUGGCCACAUCUUUCUUCAUUCCUACCCAAUGGUAGUAUCUUUUAAGGUCGCGAUACAUCUUGUUCGACCCAGGAUGGAUCGAGAACUUCGAUUGAUGCGCUUCUUUUAGGAUUUCCUCCUUCAACGCCUUAUCGUUCGGCCCACAUACUCGACCGUUCACCACGAUAGUACCAUUGUUCGAGCUUUGGUACUCGGUUUUAUUGUUUUGUGCCCACCCUUUUAUUUCUUCAUCUCGUUCUUGAGCCGACCGGAUCCUACUAAGUAGGUCGGCUUGAUUGGCGGCUCUCAACCCUAAGGGUUCAACUUCCUUAGACAAAGCAUUCAAAUGCAAUGUCCCCAUCAUGUUAACCAAAUUCACUUGGUUCCUUUCCGCUUCCACUACCGUGCGCAGCCUGCUCAAAGCAUCUACAACUUGGUUGGCCUUGCCCGGAUGGUACGCUAUGUUCAAGUCGUAAUCCGCCACAAGUUUUAUCCACCUUCUUUGCCUUAGAUUUAACUCCGGCUGGGUGAAUAUGUAUUUUAGGCUCUUGUGGUCAGUAAAGAUUUGAACCUUGGCACCAUACAAAUAUGAUCGCCAAAUCUUCAACGCAAAUACUACCGCGGCCAUUUCCAAAUCAUUCGUAGGGUAGUUCUUCUCGUGUUUCCGCAAUUGCCUCGAGGCGUAUGCGAUAACACUCCCCUUUUGGAUCAAUACGCAUCCUAGUCCUACUAUGGAUGCGUCCGUGUAGACCGUAUAGGGCUCACCUUCCUCCGGUAAGACCAACACCGGUGCAUUAGUCAACAUGGCCUUUAACUCCAGGAAGCUUCUCUCGCAUUCCUCCGACCAGUUGAAUGCGGUGUCUUUUCCGGUCAAUUGAGUCAUGGGUUGGGCCAUGCUCGCAAAUCUCUCGACCCAAGUCACUAAGUGAAUGGACCCUAACCAUUUAUGAGGUUCAUUCCCUAGUGUAAUCCGUUUCAUACGAUUCUGUGAUUCAAUAUAUGAGACGAAUAGAGUAAACAAACAAUCAGAUACUUUAUUAAUUAAGUAAAGGAUUCGAUACAACUUAUGAGUUUGCAUAUAAGCUAUUACAAGUAAUAUAAUUGAUCCCUAGACUAUCCGAAACUAUCACCACCCAUCAUCCCGGCCUUGAGUCUCUCGCGCCUAAGCCAAGUCCUUCCCACGAUCACCAUUGGUUCCUGAAAGUCAUAGAGCCAUAAGUAAUCUCAUUUACUUAGUCAUAUGCAAGUCCAUGCAAUGCUCCAUAGUCCUUACACUACUCGGAUCCGCGGAGAGGAUUUGGAGAGGGGAAGAUCGCGCAUAAGUCCAGCCGAUUCUCGGUAGGUCAAUUAAGACCCUCCGGUCCUCCACCGAGCCGCGUCCCCGCCCUAGCCGAUCCCUUGCCCGGACUGAGUCUUGUGUAGGUUGCACAUGACCCGAUUCUACCCAGCCCAUUAGUCGUUCCUUUCAAGGAAUCUCGACUCAAUUAACGUAUUCUAGAAUCCUUAGACUCGAGGUCUAGGUUUCCCUUACCUUCCUUCACGAUGUUCGGUCGAUCCGACCCUUCUUCUUCCUUGCCGGUCACAGUCCGACUACCGAUUUCCUCCGACGAUUUAUUCUCCCGAAAGGACGAGAGUUUAAUAGUGAGUUUCCGGUAUUUUCUGUGUGUUCUGGUGCCUCUAAAGGUCUUGGGCACCCUCCCUUAUAUAAGGGGCGAAUUGAUGCUUCCCGAAGGAUCACCUCCGUUCCUUGCACCUUUCCGAAGAGUUGCAUCUCUCGGUCCGUAACUGCUCGCCCUUAUCCACCCUUUGGGCGAGCACCCGUUCGACCGUAACCGCCCAAGUAACCGUCCGGGUAACCGCCCAGCUGGUCAGACAGUCGACCAGCUGCCUCGAGCUCAACCGUCACUCGCCCAGCUGCUCGAGGUGGACUGUCACUCAACCCGAGUAACCGUCACCCCUUCCAGCUGAGCUUGAGCUUCGGACGAGCUGACCCAGCUGAUUCCUUUACGAUCCUAGCUUAGCCCGCAUGAUUUCCCUUUGUCCGAGCUUAUGGCCAACUCCUUCCCACUUGUCCGAGACUCCACCUUCUUUUCUCAGACCAAGUCCCAGCCAACAAUCCUAUUGAGGAUCGCGGGCGUUACAGAUAACCUGCCCUACAGGCCAAAUGUUUGUGGUUAAGGUUUUCCCAGAAACGAUGACGAGUAUACUCAAUGUUUUCAUAUAAUGGUAUAUAAGAAGAGUGAUCUUCCACACUGGCAUCACUCAUCGCCACGUUGACACCUCUACAUUCUGUAAAGUCGACGAGCUUAAGAAUUGUCAGUCUGAAAAUGUUUGGCGAGAUGUUUUUCAACCUCUUGCAACAAUACAUCAUAAGUACAGUGAGCCACGAGAAAUUUUCAAUGCAGCAGGGAACUUCUUCAAUAGCGGUGUUUUCCAGAUAGAGCCAUUUGAUACUCUUUGAAAUCAGAGGAAAAGUUCUCAAACUUGAGCAACCACUCAGAUCAAGCAUUUUAAGAGAUGACAAGUUGACAUCGGUUGGAAGAACCUCCAGCCCUGUGCAUUCUUUCAUUUCCAACCUCACCAAUUUUUGGAGAUUCCCAAUUGUAGAAGGAACUGUCACCAAACUUUUGCAAUUAGAGAGAUAUAAAUUCACCAGAUUAGUGGCCUUUGAAAGAUCUGGAAUUUCUGUCAGGUUUCCACAUUCUGACAUAUCCAUCUCCACGAGACUUGCAAGCGACUGAAACAGAAAUUAAAAAAAAAAAUUGUUAUGCUUCAAUCACUUUCAUUUUAAUUUAAUAACUAUACACAUUUAAACAAAAUUAUAAUCAAGACAUAAUUCUGUAUGUAAAUAUAAACCGUGGAAUCACAAGCCAUUUUGACAACUUUAAUUUGGUUAUACGUAAUUAUUUACAACAGAGGUUAAACAAAAAUCAGCAAAUGCUAUAAUAUUAACAAUGUACCUGGACGCCUUCCCAUAGCUUCUCAAGCAUUUGGUUGCCUCUCACUAUGAGACGAACCAGAUCAUUUGGGCGAAAUUCACAUGGCAUACAUCUCACAAGGCAGGCGAGAUAAUCAAGACCAGGGAGAUUCUUGUUCCAUAUACAAUUUUCUACGCGGAUCUCAAUUCCAUGUGGCGAAGUAGUUGAAGUUUCCAUUUUAAACACAGGGAAAUUUUUCUCAAAUUAUCGUAAUAAAGGAGACCGAGGUACUCAAGAGAUUCCAAGUUGAGAUGAGUUGGAAAACUCUCUAGCUUUGUGCAACCCCUCAUAUCUAAAUAGAUCAGUUUAAUGGCAUUCUGAAUCGAGGAAGAAAGUGUCACCAAAGAUCUGCAUUCCGAAAGAUUUAAUUCCUCGAGGUUUCUGGCAUUAGAAAGAUCUGAAAUUUCUCUCAAAUAUCUGGAACCAUGCAUAUUCAUCCUCUUGAGGCUUCCAAGUGGCUGAAAACAAAAUAGGGAAAAACAUAAUACACACAUUCAUAAACAUUUCAAAUAGAUUAAUUUUUACCACAGGUCUGUUCUAAAAAUUGACAACUAUUUCAAUGAAGAAUUAAGUACCACAGUUCCUUCCCACAGCUUCUCAAGCUUACUUCCCAUCAUUGUGAGUUGAAUGAGGUAAUCCGCCUUAAAACUAUAAGGCAAACAUUUCAAUGGACACCUAUCCCAGUCUAGCAAUCUGAGUUUAGGGGGCAAAUAAACGAGGCUCUGAGGUAGAUCCAUAUAAUCCCCAGUAACUGAUAGACAUUGGAGAUUACGCAUGCCUUGGAACGAUUUUUCAUCUAUUGGUAAUAGCUCUUUUGAUCGGAAAGCUGUGCAGAAACGUAUUCCAAGAACUGUUUCUGUCCCCUGAAAAAAAUACGAAGUAAACUAGUAUAAUGAUAUAAUCUUUACAAUGGCAACCGUUUUUAUUUUUCUGAGACAUCAAAAGAGCUAGCCACGUUUUAAUUAAGCAGGAGAGGCAACAAUUGUUAAAGUUUAUCAAUCCCCAAAUGACGAUUAAAUUAAUAUAAAGUCAUGCAUUAAAAGGCAUCUGCUAAAAACUUACAGUUUUCUCUGUCAAUACUUCUCAGAGUAUCCUCAAAAUCCGUUAGAAAUCGACGUUUUCCAGGAUUACCCUUGGACUUUGCACGAUCAAUUUCUAUACCCAAUUUCUCUAGCAAAUUGUGCAUCUCUAUAUCUCCAUCCGGUGUAAUACGUAUGAGGGACUUCUCAACCAACAUUGUAACCCCAACAUUAUCUUCAAGUAAAUCGUUGACGUAACUGACUUCAAAACCAUUGAAUAAACACGCGAUGUAAAGGAACAUAUCUUGAUCUUUUUGAUGUAAUCUAUCGUAGCUGACUCUUAAUGUUUUCAUAAUAUCUCCGUUCAAACCAUUUCGGAACCUAGGCAUCAUCUCCAUCCACUCUUCUUUGGUCCUUCGUUUUAAAGACGAACCAAGGACACUGAGACCCAAAGGAAGAUUACCGGCAAGCACUGCAACUUCAAAUGCUAGUGCCUUAAAAUCAUCAGGUGGAGAGUUUUCCCCAAAAGCAGAUCGGCAUAACAUCUUAAGAGCAAGAUCUAGAGAUGGGAACUUCACCUCAUAUAAAAGGUCAAUAUCAUGAGCCUUAAGAAGUUGCAUAUCUUGAGUGAUCACAAUAAUUCUGCUUCCAGGUCCAAACCAUUUAGUUUCCCCCACCAAGGUCUUAAGAAACUCUGGAUCAUCCACAUCAUCAAGAACGAUAAGAACUUUCUUCUGAUUUAACAUUUGCUCCACUACACCUAACUUCCCUCCUAUCUUUAUAUCCUUACCAAGAAUUUUUGACAGAAAUAUUUCUUCCCAUUCAGACUUCAUGCUAUAGACGUGAGGUACGAAAGCGUGAAAGUGGAAUUGGCAAAAGAGUUGACUGUAUAGAGCUUUUCCUAUGGUACUCUUACCAAUCCCUGAAGGCCCCCAAAUCCCAACCAUUCUAGCUUCCUUGGAUUCCAAGCACAAUAUUGAAUUCAUUGCCUCUAAAUGAGCUUCAAUUCCGACGAAAUCGCCAAAAGAAUUCGAUGGUGAAAUAAGCUUAUUCGAAACAUCAUUAGCUAUCUUUACAACCAUGGCUGCUUCACUAGGCCUAAUAACAGUAGUCAAAUUGUGUCAAUAAAGAGGCACCCCUAAAGCACACAAUCCAAAAAAAGAAGAAGCAGAUAGCAUAGUUCAGAGAUAAUUAAAAACACACUCAGAGAUAAUGAAAUCAAAAACAAAGUACCCGUUUCGAAGAUCUUCUCCGGCUAUAUUUGUUAUGUCUACUAGAGCUUGCAUCCAUCUUUGUUUCUGAUCCUCUUCUUUGUCCUCGCAUGUCUUUUUAAAAACAUCGCCAAAUUCGCCGGUCUGUUUUCUAACUUCCGAAGGAUCAACGUCGUAAAAAACUGAAAUCACCAAUUGACCCCAAUCAUUUAAGCGAUUGUGGAUCUCAACCAAUUCAUCCAAGCACCAAGUGGAAGAAGCAUAGUUCUUAGAGAAGAUCACGAUUGAGAUCCUUGCUUCUCUAAUCGCUGAUAUUAGCUCAGGGGCUAUUGUACGGCUUCGUUCGAUGCCAUGAUCCAUGAAUGUAUUGAUUGAUCUGCGGUCGAACGCCUCGAGUAGAUUGCUGAGGAACGUCUUGCGAACAUCUACCCCACUGAAGCUUGGGAAAACAUCGUAUCUCCGGCUGCAAGAAGAAGAAGCCGCCGCCAUGGAAUAUGAUGAGGAGAAGAUAAGUACAGUAAAUCGAAUACACAGUGAUUAUUGAUUAGAGUGAUUACUGUGAGGCCGGUCCUUAAGGGUGGGAUGCGCAAGGAAACUUCUUAUUUUUUGCCCAUAGGCCAUAAAUAUAAAAAUGUAGCGAAAUGUUUGUAAUGAGGUUCGAACCAAGGCCAAUGAAGCAUUUAAAACCUGAUUUCAAGUAUUCAACCGCUCAACUACAAGUUAUGAUGCCUCUUAAAUCAAUAUUAGAUUUAUUUUGGUGUCCAAGGUCUUUGCUUAUUGUAAAAAGGACAGCUUAUCGUAAACAUGUUGAGUGGGGAAUUCAGUCUUUGUUUCCCUAUACUUACAUGCAUAGAAACUAGGAGAAUUUGUAAGUAUAUCAAUUAUGAGGAUUUUAAUUCACAUAAUAAUAUAGUGAAAACAUUAACUAUCUAGUUUGUUAAAAAAAAAACUCUUUUAGCUUUCUAGAGUUGUGUGGUGUGGUGUGGAUGGACAGUGGAGUGAAGAUUUCUAGAAACUCUCUGCGUUUUGUGUUGAGUUCUCCUCAUUUUCUCAACUCCAUCCCCUUCAAGUACCUUGACACGUACAAUUCCUGAAACAACAACACAAAAAUCUAUGUGAAUUCAGCUCUCACGAUCAUCUAUCAAAUCACUUUAUCAGUAAUUUACAUUUUAAAGUUAUAUCAUGUUCUGGACUAACAAUGAAAACCAUUUUAUGUGAUAUUUGAAUCCAUAUGCUGGUGGCAAAGAAGAACAGAGCAUUUGUAUUAUGUCACACAAAUUCAGCAAUCAAGUGAAUGGAGAGUUUAUAAGGGAUGUAAGAUGAGAUUUUACCUCAGGCAAAGAGGUUUCACGAUUGCAGCUUGGCUACUUCCCAUAAGUCUUCACUGCCUCGUAGUUACUCAAUGUCCUUUAUGUUCCUAGGAAUCACAAGGUCGUUGUAAGACGGCAAGAACGAAAAAAGAGUGGAAUCGACUGAUGGUGUAUUAUAUUUUUAUUUAUUAUUAUUAGGUCAUUGGUGCAAAUAUCUGAAGCAAACCUGCACAAACCAAUUCAGCUAAAAUAAGCACCAGAGAAAUUAGCUUUCACAUCCUAAAUGUGACAAUGACUAGCUCACUUGACCUCAGGGUCGUGAUUGAGUUUGGUGGUUGUGGCCGGUGAGUAGGACGGGUGGAAGCUGGUUUUGUAUGUAUGGGGCAGUGGUGGUGCUGAGUUAUGUUGUAAUCACUGUUUUUUACUGUGAGUGUAGGAAACGCCAUGGUAGCAGUGAUGCAUUUAAUGCUGAUGAGGUUGCUAUUUAAAAAUUUAGUUCCAACACUUUUUUGUUGUUGAUAAUUCUCUUGUGAAAUACAUUUUUCUUUACCGAAUUUAUUCAUUGAUUUAAAGAGAGAAAAAUAACCUUUGGUAACAUACACGUAGAGAGAUAUGUGUGUUUCAAAAGACAAGACUGUUAUAUUUACAUCUUUUCAGGAAAGCGAAUUUUUCAAAGAAGCAAAACAGAGAGAAGUAAGAACAGAGUGGUUCUGCUGUUCUGGACAUGGAACCAUAAAAGUUUUCUAGUUGUCAGUGCUCCAUCAUCUGCAGGAGAAAAUGGCUUGUGUGAAAAACUAAGAAAUCGUCUUGUCAUUACCAGUAUAGUCAUGGUCGAUCCCAUGUUCAUUAUAAAACAGAGUUGUAAUACGUUUCAGGUUACCUUAACAAUGUGAUAAGCUGUAGAGACGGCUAAGGAUCCAGGAAAGGAAUCUUAACAAUGUGAUGGUGUGAAUUCAGUCAAGGCAGAUCUUAACUGUUCAGGGUCAGCAGUGAAAGGUGUCGUCCCCAUCAGACCAUACGUUUUAUUUAGGCCCUUGAUGCAAAGAUCUGAAGCAAACCAAUUCAGUCAAGAACAGCCCCAGAGAAUGAGCUUCCCAUCCUAGAUGUUCUAGUGAGUAGUUCAGGCCUACAACUUUCACUCUUCUCGAUAUAAUUAAAGAGUGCAGCGGCAUAGGGGAACAGCAGCGACAUAUUUUCUCAUCGACGUAGGAUAGCUGGAUGAUACUUCAUGGUUUGGAAGUGGACCAGACAAUGUCUCCUGUAGAAAGUUUAAAAGCUCUUUCCUUCACCCGAAGGAUUGUUCCUUAUGCUGGUUACAUCUUUGGCCGAAGUUAGGCCAAAAACGCUUCUGCCUUUUGGCUAUUGAAUCAGCGGAUAUGCAAAUGUUGCUGAUUCUUGUUGUUUUCUGUACCCAAAGUCUGAUUUAUUCAUUGCUAAUAAAGAGAAAAACAACCUUUACUAACAUAAACAUUGAGAUCUAUGUUUUAAAAAGGCAAGACUAUUUUGGGUAGUACCUGCACUCAAGCAGGUACGCUCCCAAAUUCAAUGUCUUUCUUAAAAAUAGAAUAUGUUUUUACAAAACAAAACAAUGCCAAAGAUGUUUUUCCAGAAUAUGCUAAAGUAUGGCUUUCUGAAACAUUUAUUCUUUCAGGAAAAGUGAAAUGUUCAAAACAAACGCAGAGCUGGAUAAUGUAACGGACUUUGGUUCUCCUAAAGAUCUUCAUCAUCUGCAGUUAAUUAUCAUUAUCAUUAUAGUCAUAGUCGAUCCCAAGUUAUCCUAAAACAGAGUAAAACAGAAUGAUAAGAUGCUUCAGUUACCAGAAUCAGUAGACAAGAUAGGAAUUUCUUCAUCUUGUUCUUCAGUUAUCAUGUAAUCAACACACAAAGCUUCCCCCUCUAGAGAUGUUGAUGAUGAUGCUUCUCCCUGCCCUAACGAAAGCUCCAUAUUUAGAGCGGCCAAUCCUGAGUCCGCUACAAUUUGGCCAUAGGGUAAGUUGAUAUAUUCUUCAGAUGUCCCCGAUGUCAUCUGCAUUAUAAAUCAAACGAUCGAUUCUAUUAAAUAGUCUGUCCCUAUGGUGUUUCGAUCCUGAAAAAUCAAACCAAAAGUCAAAAGAUAGCUUUAUAAUUUUCAGCUCUAAUCAAAAGUCAAAAGAUACCCCCAUCCGCUUCUCGCUUCUCGUAGUCUGUUGGUUGUACUCUGUUUCUUGAUAGACAUACAAGAGUCGUACACCGCAUUCUUUGAUCCUAUUGGAGCAACAAAAUUUAAACUCCAUUCAGACCAGAUCUUGAAGGAACAGAAAAACAGAUGAUCCGUCUUACAAAACUGCAGGUCUGCAUCUUCAAAAAAUGAUUUCUGAUACUGUUUGCCAUUGAAGCCAACAUUUACCUUCAAGGAUGGAUAAAAACCCUUGCCCUCGGAGGGAGGUUCAACCACGACGCAAGCCUUAAAUGGAAAGAAGUAUUGAGAAAGAGAGCUCUGAGGUAAAGUGACAGUUAGGGAAUCUCCAUAAGCUCGAUACGUGAAAUACUUAGGGAUUUCUCCACCUGGUAAGGCCACAUGCUUGAAGCAUGAUCGUAGGAUAAGUUCUCGCGCAUCUCUUUCCAAUUUGAAGCAAUUGCAGAAGCUAAAGGAUUCCCUACGUAAGCGCCAAUCUACGACGUAGUUCUUAUAAUCAUCAUCAUACAACGCAUCCCAGAAACGUUCACAUGUAUAUUCAAUGUUUUCAGAUAAUGGUACACAAGAAACGUGAUCUUCCAUUGUCGCUACCACAGUUGCAUCACUCAACGCCUUGAUGACACCUCUACAGUCUGUAAAGUCGGCGAACAUUAGACUUCUCAGUCUGAAAAUGUUUGGGGAGAUGUUUUUCAACCUCUGGCAACAAUACAUCAGUAGUACACGGAGCCUCGUGAAAUCCUCAAUGCAGCAGGGAACUUCUCCAAUGGCGGUGUUUUCCAGAUAGAGCCAUACAAUAUUAGUUGAAAUCAGAGGAAAAGUUCUCAAACUUGAGCAACCACUGAGAUCGAGGAUACCCAGAGAUGACAAGUUGACAUCGGUUGGAAGAACCUCCAGCCCUGUGCAUCUUUUCAUGUACAAACGUCUCAAAUUUUGAAGAUUCCCAAUUGUAGAAGGAAGUGUCACCAAACUUUUGCAGUUGUUGAGUAUCAAAGACUCGAGCUUGGUGGCCUUUGAAAGAUCUAGAAUUUCUUCAAUGGCGGUGUUUUCCAGAUAGAGCCAUUUGAUACUCUUUGAAAUCAGAGGAAAAGUUCUCAAACUUGAGCAACCACUGAGAUCGAGGGUUUCGAGAGAUGACAAGUUGACAUCGGUUGGAAGAACCUCCAGCCCUGUGCAUUCUUUCAUUUCCAACCUCACCAAUUUUUGGAGAUUCCCAAUAGUAGAAGGAAGUGUCACCAAACUUUUGCAGUUGUUGAGAUAUAAAUGCUUCAGAUUGGUGGCCUUUGAAAGAUCUGGAAUUUCUGUCAGGUUUUCAGAUUCUGACAGAUCCAUCUCUUCGAGACUUCCAAGCGACUGAAAAAAACAUUAUCGAUGAUAAUCAUUUUAAUUUUAUACCUAUAUAUGUUUAAAAUUAUAAUUAAACAUUAUUACGUAUGUAUGUAAGACAUAACCGUGGAUCGACCACAAGCCAUAAAAACAAAUUUGGGUAUACUUAAUUAGUUAUAUAACAGAAGGUAAACAAAAAUCAGCAUAGCAUUAACAAUGUACCUGGAUGCCUUCCCAUAGCUUCUCAUGCUUGUAGCACCUCACAUUGAGAAAAACGAGAUAUUCUGGGCGAAAUUCACAAGGCAUACAUCUCAUAAGGCAGUCGAGAUAAUCUAGUCCAGCAGGGAGAUUCUUGUUCCAGAAACAAUCUUCUACCACGAUCUCAUUUCUCCCUUCCGGAAAGUCAACGUCUGAACAUCCCAUUUUGAUUGCUGGGAAAUUUCUCAAAUUCGGGCAUCCAGUGAGAUUGAGGUACUCGAGAGAUUCCAAGUUGAGAUCGGUUGGAAAACUCUCUAGCUUUUUGCAAUCACUAAUAUCUAAAUAGAUAAGUUUAAUGGCAUUCUGCAUCGAGGAAGGAAAUGUCACCAAGGAUUCGCAUUUACAAAUAUCUACUUCCUCGAGGUUUAUGGCUAAAGAAAGAUCUGGAAUCUCUUUCAAAUAUUUGGAACCACGCAGAAACAUCUGCUUGAGUCUUCCAAGUGGCUAAUAACAAAAUAGGGGAAAAGAGAGUACACACGUUAGUGAACAUUUUAAACAGAUUCAUUUUAGUUUUUCUAACAGAUUUAUGUUUAGAAAUUGAUCACUAAUAGAAUUAGUACCUGAGUUCCAUCCCACAGCUUCUCAAGGUCACUAUUCUCCAUUCUGAGUUUAACCAGAUACUCAACCUUAAAAUUAGAAUGCAAACGCUUCAAUGGACAAUUAUUCCACAAUAGCAAUCUGAGUUUACUAGGGAAAUAAACGAUGCCCUGAGUGCCUUCCAUACGUGAGCAAUCAACUGAUAGAUAUUCGAGAUUACACAUGCCUUCUAAUGAUUUUAAAUCUAUUAAUAGCACCCCCGAACAAUAUAACGUCCUCAGUUUAAUGGCAUUCUGAAUCGAGGAAGGAAGUGUCACCAAAGAUUCGCAUUCAGAAAGAUUUAAUUCCUCGAGGUUUAUGGCUAAAGAAAGAUCUGGAAUUUCUUUAAAAUAUUUGGAAUACCACAAAUUCAUCUUCUUGAGACUUCCAAGGGGCUGAAAACAACAUAUGGAAAAAGAGAAUACACACGUUCACAAUUUUUUUAAAACAGAUUCAUUUGAAGCUUUUCUAACAUAUAUAUGUUCAUAAAUAUACCACAGUUCUAUUCUAAAAACUGACAACUAAUAAAAUUUAUAAUUCGUACCAG
Molecule: long non-coding RNA, 19294 nt
Filed under: Arabidopsis thaliana (thale cress)
Lineage: Eukaryota; Viridiplantae; Streptophyta; Magnoliopsida; Brassicales; Brassicaceae
Description: long non-coding RNA (ATHA_LNC000266)
Source: RNAcentral